Molecule: ribosomal RNA, 468 nt
Filed under: uncultured bacterium
Lineage: Bacteria
Description: partial 16S ribosomal RNA
Rfam family: Bacterial small subunit ribosomal RNA
Source: RNAcentral
GACGAACGCUGGCGGCGUGCUUAACACAUGCAAGUCGAACGGAUAGGCCCUGCUUUUGUGGGGUGCUCGAGUGGCGAACGGGUGAGUAACACGUGAGUAACCUGCCCUUGACUUUGGGAUAACUUCAGGAAACUGGGGCUAAUACCGGAUAGGAGCUCCUGCUGCAUGGUGGGGGUUGGAAAGUUUCGGCGGUUGGGGAUGGACUCGCGGCUUAUCAGCUUGUUGGUGGGGUAGUGGCUUACCAAGGCUUUGACGGGUAGCCGGCCUGAGAGGGUGACCGGCCACAUUGGGACUGAGAUACGGCCCAGACUCCUACGGGAGGCAGCAGUGGGGAAUAUUGCACAAUGGGCGGAAGCCUGAUGCAGCAACGCCGCGUGCGGGAUGACGGCCUUCGGGCUGUAAACCGCUUUCGCCUGUGACGAAGCGUGAGUGACGGUAAUGGGUAAAGAAGCACCGGCUAACUACGUG